RNAcentral lists this ribosomal RNA (1403 nucleotides) under Ingerophrynus macrotis (big-eared toad). RNAcentral describes it as "partial 16S ribosomal RNA". It matches the Rfam family "Bacterial large subunit ribosomal RNA", at positions 246 to 2575 of the family's 2925-position model. Lineage: Eukaryota; Metazoa; Chordata; Amphibia; Anura; Bufonidae. The record is from RNAcentral.
GCCAAAAACCUAGCCCAAUCAACAUGAAUUUAACCAAGUCAACUAACUCCUCCUAACAAAUCAUUCUAAUAUUCUAGUAAAGGAGAUUGAAAAACUCUUUGGAGCUAUAACAAUAGUACCGCAAGGGAAAAGUGAAAUAUUUAAUGAAAAAUCUCAAGCAAGAAAAAGUAAAGAUUUUCCCUUGUACCUUUUGCAUCAUGGUUUAACUAGUCAAAUCAAGCAAAACGUAUUUAAGUUUGACUUCCCGAAACUAAGUGAGCUACUUCAGGGCAGCUAAAAGAGCAAACCCGUCUCUGUAGCAAAAGAGUGGGAUGACCCUCAAGUAGCGGUGACAGACCUAACGAACUUAGUGAUAGCUGGUUGCCUAGGAAACGGAUUUAAGUCCAACCUGAAAUAUAACCUAGUUUACUUAAACAAAUAUUUAUUUUCAGCGCAAUUCAAAUAAGGUACAGCCUAUUUGAAAUAGGAUACAACCUAGACUUAUGGAUAAAAUCAGCUAAGCACACAACUAAGUGGGCCUAAAAGCAGCCAUCUUUUAAAUUGCGUCAAAGCUUAAUUGUCCCCACGCCUAAUUACCUAACUAUUAUAUUAAUCCUAUAUUCUUACUAAGCAAUUCUAUACCCCUAUAGAAAUUUUUAUGUUAAAACUAGUAACAAGAAGAAGACCCUUCUCUUAAAUGUAAGUGUAAAUCAGAAAGGACUAACCACUGAUAUUUAACACAUUUGAACCAGAAAUAGCAACAAAUCAAGAAAAACCUAUUUUUACCCAUGUUAACCUAACACAAGAACAUUUUAAGAAAGAUUUAAAGAAAAAGAAGGAACUCGGCAAAUAUUAACCUCGCCUGUUUACCAAAAACAUCGCCUCUUGAACUACUAUAAGAGGUCCAGCCUGCCCAGUGACUCUGUUCAACGGCCGCGGUAUCCUAACCGUGCGAAGGUAGCGUAAUCACUUGUUCUUUAAAUGAGGACUAGUAUGAAUGGCACCACGAAGGUUAUACUGUCUCCUUUUUCUAAUCAGUGAAACUAAUCUCCCCGUGAAGAAGCGGGGAUAAAAAUAUAAGACGAGAAGACCCUAUGGAGCUUUAAACAAUAUAGCACUUAUCAUACAAUUUUUAAUUUCCUGAAUUAUCUACUACCACAGAUAAUAUGACUAUAAGUUUUCGGUUGGGGUGACCACGGAGCACAACAUAACCUCCAUGUUGAAAGAAUUUAUUUCUAAGCUAAGAACUACACUUCUAAGAAUCAACACCUUGACAUUAAUUGACCCAAUAUAUUUGAUCAACGAACCAAGUUACCCUAGGGAUAACAGCGCAAUCCACUUCAAGAGCUCCUAUCGACAAGUGGGUUUACGACCUCGAUGUUGGAUCAGGGUCUCCCAGUGGUGCAGCCGCUACUAAGGGUUCG